UACGUAGGUGGCAAACGUUGUCCGGAUUUAUUGGGUUUAAAGGGUGCGUAGGCGGCCCUGUAAGUCAGUGCUGAAAUAUCCCAGCUUAACUGGGAGGGUGGCAUUGAUACUGCGGGGCUAGAGUACAGAUGAGGUAGGCGGAAUUGACGGUGUAGCGGUGAAAUGCUUAGAUAUCGUCAAGAACACCUAUAGCGAAGGCAGCUUACUAGGCUGUAACUGACGCUGAGGCACGAAAGUGUGGGGAUCAAACAGG
Molecule: ribosomal RNA, 253 nt
Filed under: uncultured bacterium
Lineage: Bacteria
Description: partial 16S ribosomal RNA
Rfam family: Bacterial small subunit ribosomal RNA
Source: RNAcentral